RNAcentral lists this ribosomal RNA (325 nucleotides) under uncultured bacterium. RNAcentral describes it as "bacterial SSU rRNA". It matches the Rfam family "Bacterial small subunit ribosomal RNA", at positions 150 to 507 of the family's 1533-position model. The record is from RNAcentral.
GACGAAAGUCGGGCUAAUACCGCAUACGCCCUACGGGGGAAAGGCUUCGGCCGCUAUUGGAUGAGCCCGCGUCGGAUUAGCUAGUUGGUGAGGUAAUGGCUCACCAAGGCGACGAUCCGUAGCUGGUCUGAGAGGACGAUCAGCCACACUGGGACUGAGACACGGCCCAGACUCCUACGGGAGGCAGCAGUGGGGAAUAUUGCACAAUGGGCGAAAGCCUGAUGCAGCAAUGCCGCGUGUGUGAAGAAGGCCUGCGGGUUGUAAAGCACUUUCGGUAGGGAAGAUAAUGACGGUACCUACAGAAGAAGCACCGGCUAACUCCGUG